CCUACGGGUGGCUGCAGUGGGGAAUAUUGGACAAUGGGCGAAAGCCUGAUCCAGCCAUGCCGCGUGUGUGAAGAAGGCCUUCGGGUUGUAAAGCACUUUCAGUGGGGAAGAAAGCCUUGGGGCUAAUACCCUCGAGGAAGGACAUCACCCACAGAAGAAGCACCGGCUAACUCCGUGCCAGCAGCCGCGGUAAUACGGAGGGUGCGAGCGUUAAUCGGAAUUACUGGGCGUAAAGCGCGCGUAGGCGGUCUGAUAAGCCGGUUGUGAAAGCCCCGGGCUCAACCUGGGAACGGCAUCCGGAACUGUCAGGCUAGAGUGCAGGAGAGGAAGGUAGAAUUCCCGGUGUAGCGGUGAAAUGCGUAGAGAUCGGGAGGAAUACCAGUGGCGAAGGCGGCCUUCUGGACUGACACUGACGCUGAGGUGCGAAAGCGUGGGUAGCAAACAGGACUAGAUACCCUAGUAGUU
This 465-nucleotide ribosomal RNA is filed under the name Vreelandella stevensii. RNAcentral's name for it is "partial 16S ribosomal RNA". It matches the Rfam family "Bacterial small subunit ribosomal RNA", at positions 338 to 795 of the family's 1533-position model. Lineage: Bacteria; Pseudomonadati; Pseudomonadota; Gammaproteobacteria; Oceanospirillales; Halomonadaceae. The record is from RNAcentral.